RNAcentral lists this long non-coding RNA (207 nucleotides) under Vigna radiata. RNAcentral's name for it is "long non-coding RNA (VRAD_LNC014479)". Lineage: Eukaryota; Viridiplantae; Streptophyta; Magnoliopsida; Fabales; Fabaceae. The record is from RNAcentral.
CCAAGGAAAAGGAAGGAUAUAAUAUGGAUGAGAAGCUAUAAACCAAAGGAAAUAGAGGAACAAUGGGGAACAAGUGUAAACACAUUCAAACACACCCAAACCUCUAAUUCAAUCCUCUUCUUGACUCCUUUAUUCAUAAUUUUUUUUUUUAAUUUUUCUCAUUUUUCUGUAUUUUUUUUUUCUUUUUUUUUCAUCUUGUCUCUUUUC